RNAcentral lists this ribosomal RNA (508 nucleotides) under uncultured bacterium. Its description in RNAcentral is "partial 16S ribosomal RNA". It matches the Rfam family "Bacterial small subunit ribosomal RNA", at positions 30 to 523 of the family's 1533-position model. The record is from RNAcentral.
AUUGAACGCUGGCGGCAUGCCUUACACAUGCAAGUCGAACGGCAGCGGGGGAGGAGCUUGCUUUUCCUGCCGGCGAGUGGCGAACGGGUGAGUAAUACAUCGGAACGUGCCCUGUAGGGGGGGAUAACUAGUCGAAAGAUUAGCUAAUACCGCAUACGACCUGAGGGUGAAAGUGGGGGACCGCAAGGCCUCAUGCUAUAGGAGCGGCCGAUGUCUGAUUAGCUAGUUGGUGGGGUAAAGGCCUACCAAGGCGAAGAUCAGUAGCUGGUCUGAGAGGACGAUCAGCCACACUGGGACUGAGACACGGCCCAGACUCCUACGGGAGGCAGCAGUGGGGAAUUUUGGACAAUGGGCGAAAGCCUGAUCCAGCAAUGCCGCGUGUGUGAAGAAGGCCUUCGGGUUGUAAAGCACUUUUGUCCGGAAAGAAAUGGCUCUGGUUAAUACCUGGGGUCGAUGACGGUACCGGAAGAAUAAGGACCGGCUAACUACGUGCCAGCCGCCGCAGUAA